CUCCGCCAAGAGGGCUUCUCGGACAGGAUUGUGAUGUGUACAAUCGAUCGACAUUUGCCCUACGACAGGCCCAAACUGAGCAAGUCAAUGGAUUCCCACGCUGACCAGAUCGCUCUGCGUCCAAAAGAAUUCUUCCGCACGAACGACAUUGAGGUCCUGACUGAAAUGCAGGUGGUGGCGGUGGAUGUCAAGAACAAGACGGCCAUUUUCAAGGAUGGGUUUAAGAUGGAGUACAACAAGCUGCUGCUGGCAACAGG
Molecule: non-coding RNA, 257 nt
Organism: Thamnophis sirtalis
Lineage: Eukaryota; Metazoa; Chordata; Lepidosauria; Squamata; Natricidae
Source: RefSeq, a predicted model, not a curated record